Cavia porcellus (domestic guinea pig) is the source of this 83-nucleotide microRNA precursor. Ensembl annotates it as microRNA 216b. Its record names the gene MIR216B. NCBI's taxonomy places the organism in Eukaryota, Metazoa, Chordata, Mammalia, Rodentia, Caviidae. The record is from Ensembl.
UGGCAGACUGGAAAAUCUCUGCAGGCAAAUGUGAUGUCACUGAAGAAUCACACACUUACCUGUAAAGAUUCUGCAGUCUGACA